AUUGAACGCUGGCGGCAGGCCUAACACAUGCAAGUCGAGCGGAUGAAGGGAGCUUGCUCCUGGAUUCAGCGGCGGACGGGUGAGUAAUGCCUAGGAAUCUGCCUGGUAGUGGGGGAUAACGUCCGGAGACGGGCGCUAAUACCGCAUACGUCCUGAGGGAGAAAGUGGGGGAUCUUCGGACCUCACGCUCUCAGAUGAGCCUAGGUCGGAUUAGCUAGUUGGUGGGUAAAGGCCUACCAAGGCGACGAUCCGUAACUGGUCUGAGAGGAUGAUCAGUCACACUGGAACUGAGACACGGUCCAUACUCCUGCGGGAGGCAGCAGUGGGGAAUAUUAGACAAUGGGCGAAAGCCUGAUCCAGCCAUGCCGCGUGUGUGAAGAAGGUCUUCGGAUUGUAAAGCACUUUAAGUUGGGAGGAAGGGCAGUAAGUUAAUACCUUGCUGUUUUGACGUUACCAACAGAAGAAGCACCGGCUAACUUCGUG
This 483-nucleotide ribosomal RNA is filed under the name uncultured bacterium. RNAcentral's name for it is "partial 16S ribosomal RNA". It matches the Rfam family "Bacterial small subunit ribosomal RNA", at positions 30 to 507 of the family's 1533-position model. The record is from RNAcentral.